This 483-nucleotide ribosomal RNA is filed under the name uncultured bacterium. RNAcentral's name for it is "bacterial SSU rRNA". It matches the Rfam family "Bacterial small subunit ribosomal RNA", at positions 28 to 505 of the family's 1533-position model. The record is from RNAcentral.
GAUGAACGCUAGCGGCAGGCUUAACACAUGCAAGUCGAGGGGCAGCGUGGAGCAGCAAUGCUCUGACGGCGACCGGCGGAAGGGUGCGUAACACGUGAGCGACUUGCCCGUCACAGGGGGAUAACCGGCGGAAACGGCGACUAAUACCCCAUACGAUGCGAUGCUGCAUGGCAUUGCAUUGAAAGAUUCAUCGGUGGCGGAUAGGCUCGCGGGACAUUAGCUAGACGGCGGGGCAACGGCCCACCGUGGCGACGAUGUCUAGGGGUUCUGAGAGGAAGGCCCCCCACACUGGGACUGAGACACGGCCCAGACUCCUACGGGAGGCAGCAGUGAGGAAUAUUGGUCAAUGGGCGGAAGCCUGAACCAGCCAUGCCGCGUGAAGGACUAAGGCCCUACGGGUCGUAAACUUCUUUAGACGCAGAGCAAUAAGGUCCACGUGUGGACCGAUGAGAGUAUGCGUAGAAUAAGCAUCGGCUAACUCCG